UUCACCUCCUCGCGCUGCGCCGCCGGCUCCGGGGUGGGCGGGGGGAGAAGCGAGGGCGGAGAGGCAGGGCGGGGGCUGAGGCUGUUUAAUAAAAGAAGAACAUAGCUCAGCUGCUGUUUCAACAGGAUGGGUUCUAUCGUGUGGGAAUGUGGUUAAUCAGCUUGACACAUUAACCUAAUACAGCCUUCAUAAUGUGAAAAGAAAAGACAAGAUGUCCCAUCUGUCUCAAGUGUUCUGUCAGACUGAGUGAAUAAGACUCUGUCAGCACAAAUAGUAUUUCAGUUUUUGAAGAAGCUUAACAAGCAGCAAAAAUACUGGCAUUAAAGCCAGACCUUCAGUACAUGUAUAUCUGAAAGUGUACAUUGAAUAAUCUGACAGGCCUCAGUGACUGGCUCCCAUUCACAUGUGGAAGGAUGGCUACUUGCUUGAUGUUCUGCUGUCUUUUGUUCUUGGAAGUUUUGGUGGGGCAUACAAGUGGACACAGUUUAUUUUCUUGUGAGCCCAUCAUCUUGAGGAUGUGCCAAGACCUGCCUUACAAUACCACCUUUAUGCCUAAUCUUCUGAAUCAUUAUGACCAGCAAACUGCAGCAUUAGCAAUGGAGGUUUGACAACAAACUAUUGAUGAUUACUGUGUGUACAGUCUUUCAAUCAGUUUUGCACCAAAUGUGAUGCUUCCUGGAGUACCCAGGUUUGAGGCACCUUGCUACCACCUGCCCUUAGUGGGAGGAAAUC
Molecule: long non-coding RNA, 732 nt
Organism: Mauremys mutica (yellowpond turtle)
Lineage: Eukaryota; Metazoa; Chordata; Testudines; Geoemydidae
Exons: 3
Source: RefSeq, a predicted model, not a curated record